RNAcentral lists this ribosomal RNA (253 nucleotides) under uncultured bacterium. Its description in RNAcentral is "partial 16S ribosomal RNA". It matches the Rfam family "Bacterial small subunit ribosomal RNA", at positions 524 to 776 of the family's 1533-position model. The record is from RNAcentral.
UACAGAGGUCUCGAGCGUUGUUCGGAUUCAUUGGGCGUAAAGGGUGCGUAGGCGGCGCGGUAAGUCGGGUGUGAAAUCUUGGAGCUUAACUCCGUAACUGCAUUCGAUACUGCCGUGCUUGAGGACUGGAGAGGAGACUGGAAUUUACGGUGUAGCGGUGAAAUGCGUAGAUAUCGUAAGGAAGACCAGUGGCGAAGGCGGGUCUCUGGACAGUUCCUGACGCUGAGGCACGAAGGUCAGGGGAGCAAACGGG